AACGAACGCUGGCGGCAGGCCUAACACAUGCAAGUCGAGCGAGGUAGCAAUACCUAGCGGCGGACGGGUUAGUAACGCGUGGGAACGUGCCCAAAGGUACGGAAUAGCCUCGGGAAACUGAGAGUAAUACCGUAUGUGCCCUUCGGGGAAAGAUUAUCGCCUUUGGAUCGGCCCGCGUUGGAUUAGGUAGUUGGUGGGGUAAUGGCCUACCAAGCCGACGAUCCAUAGCUGGUUUGAGAGGAUGAUCAGCAACACUGGGACUGAGACACGGCCCAGACUCCUACGGGAGGCAGCAGUGGGGAAUCUUAGACAAUGGGGGAAACCCGUGAUCUAGCCAUGCCGCGUGAGCGAUGAAGGCCUUAGGGUUGUAAAGCUCUUUCAGCUGGGAAGAUAAUGACGGUACCAGCAGAAGAAGCCCCGGCUAACUCCGUG
Molecule: ribosomal RNA, 432 nt
Filed under: uncultured bacterium
Lineage: Bacteria
Description: bacterial SSU rRNA
Rfam family: Bacterial small subunit ribosomal RNA
Source: RNAcentral